Molecule: ribosomal RNA, 229 nt
Filed under: uncultured bacterium
Lineage: Bacteria
Description: partial 16S ribosomal RNA
Rfam family: Bacterial small subunit ribosomal RNA
Source: RNAcentral
UACGCAGGCGGUUCGUUAAGUCGGGUGUGAAAGCCCGGGGCUCAACCCCGGAACUGCACUCGAAACUGGCGGGCUUGAGUACGGGAGAGGGAAGCGGAAUUCCUGGUGUAGAGGUGAAAUUCGUAGAUAUCAGGAGGAACACCCGUGGCGAAAGCGGCUUCCUGGCCCGAUACUGACGCUCAUGUACGAAAGCGUGGGGAGCAAACAGGAUUAGAUACCCUGGUAGUCC